RNAcentral lists this ribosomal RNA (500 nucleotides) under uncultured bacterium. RNAcentral's name for it is "partial 16S ribosomal RNA". It matches the Rfam family "Bacterial small subunit ribosomal RNA", at positions 30 to 523 of the family's 1533-position model. The record is from RNAcentral.
AUUGAACGCUGGCGGCAUGCUUCACACAUGCAAGUCGAAGGGUAACAGGGUGCUUGCACCGCUGACGAGUGGCGAACGGGUGAGUAAUGCGUCGGAACGUGCCGAGUAGUGGGGGAUAACGCAGCGAAAGUUGCGCUAAUACCGCAUACGUACUGAGGUAGAAAGUGGGGGACCUUCGGGCCUCACGCUAUUCGAGCGGCCGACGUCUGAUUAGCUAGUAGGUGAGGUAAAGGCUCACCUAGGCGACGAUCAGUAGCGGGUCUGAGAGGAUGAUCCGCCACACUGGGACUGAGACACGGCCCAGACUCCUACGGGAGGCAGCAGUGGGGAAUUUUGGACAAUGGGCGAAAGCCUGAUCCAGCCAUGCCGCGUGUCUGAAGAAGGCCUUCGGGUUGUAAAGGACUUUUGUCAGGGAGGAAAUCCCUAGUGCUAAUAACACUGGGGGAUGACAGUACCUGAAGAAUAAGCACCGGCUAACUACGUGCCAGCCGCCGCAGUAA